GUCCGAAGAGAACCAUAACUGCCGAGAAAUUCAAAGAAUACCACGAAACAAUUAUUGUGGAAAAGCAGGUAAAGAAUAAUUCUUACUGUGAAUGUAUUGACAUUCCGCCGAGUAAAACACCGUACAAUAUUCAAACUCACUUUAGGGCCUUAAUAAUAUGGUACAAGUCAAAUCGGCACCUGGUUAAAUCGACAUCUAGUCAAAUCGGCACCUAUUUAAAGUCAAUUAGGCAUCCAAUAAUAAAUAUAAA
Molecule: long non-coding RNA, 250 nt
Filed under: Mytilus galloprovincialis (Mediterranean mussel)
Lineage: Eukaryota; Metazoa; Mollusca; Bivalvia; Mytilida; Mytilidae
Source: RNAcentral